Molecule: unclassified non-coding RNA, 237 nt
Filed under: Hevea brasiliensis (rubber tree)
Lineage: Eukaryota; Viridiplantae; Streptophyta; Magnoliopsida; Malpighiales; Euphorbiaceae
Source: RNAcentral
GCCCCUCCAAAUCUAAAAGAGUAAUCCAAACCAGAACUUGGAUAUAUAUACAAAGGCUCUCUCUCCAGGGCCUCAAUGAUCGAUAAUUAUCAUAGCUCAACUUUCAUCUGAGCUCCAGGCAUAUUUGAAUCUGCAUGAAAGGCCUGCGGCUGCUGCAGCUGAUUCUGUCCAAAUCCCAUCUGCACAACACUCUGGAGAUCAUCUUCCCAGAAUGUCGAAACCUGACGUGGUGCAUCU